GCUCAGCCCUAAACAUGGAUAAUUAACACAACAAAAUUAUCUGCCAGAGAACUACUAGCAAUAGCUUAAAACUCAAAGGACUUGGCGGUGCUUUACACCCCUCUAGAGGAGCCUGUUCUAUAAUCGAUAAACCCCGAUACACCUCACCACUUCUAGCUAAAUCAGUCUAUAUACCGCCAUCUUCAGCAAACCCUCAAAAAAGGAAGGAAAGUAAGCACGAUAAUAAUACAUAAAAAAGUUAGGUCAAGGUGUAACCUAUGAAGUGGGAAGAAAUGGGCUACAUUUUCUAAUCAAGAACACACUCACGAAAGUCUUUAUACGAAAUCUAGAGACUAAAGGUGGAUUUAGUAGUAAAUUAAGAAUAGAGAGCUUAAUUGAAUAGGGCCAUGAAGAAG
RNAcentral lists this ribosomal RNA (395 nucleotides) under Enhydra lutris (sea otter). Its description in RNAcentral is "partial 12S ribosomal RNA". It matches the Rfam family "Bacterial small subunit ribosomal RNA", at positions 794 to 1382 of the family's 1533-position model. The record is from RNAcentral. Lineage: Eukaryota; Metazoa; Chordata; Mammalia; Carnivora; Mustelidae.